This 57-nucleotide transfer RNA is filed under the name Heterocephalus glaber (naked mole-rat). It matches the Rfam family "tRNA", at positions 8 to 63 of the family's 71-position model. Rfam says of the family: Transfer RNA (tRNA) molecules are approximately 80 nucleotides in length. Their secondary structure includes four short double-helical elements and three loops (D, anti-codon, and T loops). The record is from Rfam by way of RNAcentral. Lineage: Eukaryota; Metazoa; Chordata; Mammalia; Rodentia; Bathyergidae.
UAGCUCAGUGGCAGAGCACAUGCUUAGCAUGCAUGAGACCCUGGAUUUAAUACCCAG